RNAcentral lists this small RNA (106 nucleotides) under Marmota monax (woodchuck). Lineage: Eukaryota; Metazoa; Chordata; Mammalia; Rodentia; Sciuridae. The record is from RNAcentral.
GCCAAGUGCGGUGGCGCACACCUGUAAUCCCAGCUGCUCAGGAGGCUGAGACAGGAGAAUCAUGAGUUCAAAGCCAGCCUCAGCAAUGGGCGAGAUCCUGUCUCUA